GCCUGCCUAGCUCAAUCGGAUAGAGCGUCAGACUUUUAUGGCGGGGUCACCGAUCUGAAGUAAUAUCUGAAGGCUGCGAGUUCGACCCUCACGGUGGGCU
RNAcentral lists this transfer RNA (100 nucleotides) under Armillaria borealis. It matches the Rfam family "tRNA". From Rfam's summary of the family: Transfer RNA (tRNA) molecules are approximately 80 nucleotides in length. Their secondary structure includes four short double-helical elements and three loops (D, anti-codon, and T loops). Further hydrogen bonds mediate the characteristic L-shaped molecular structure. tRNAs have two regions of fundamental functional importance: the anti-codon, which is responsible for specific mRNA codon recognition, and the 3' end, to which the tRNAs corresponding amino acid is attached (by aminoacyl-tRNA synthetases). tRNAs cope with the degeneracy of the genetic code in two manners: having more than one tRNA (with a specific anti-codon) for a particular amino acid; and 'wobble' base-pairing, i.e. permitting non-standard base-pairing at the 3rd anti-codon position. Lineage: Eukaryota; Fungi; Basidiomycota; Agaricomycetes; Agaricales; Physalacriaceae. The record is from Rfam by way of RNAcentral.